RNAcentral lists this ribosomal RNA (492 nucleotides) under uncultured bacterium. RNAcentral describes it as "partial 16S ribosomal RNA". It matches the Rfam family "Bacterial small subunit ribosomal RNA", at positions 29 to 507 of the family's 1533-position model. The record is from RNAcentral.
AGUGAACGCUGGCGGUAGGCCUAACACAUGCAAGUCGAACGGCAGCACAGUAAGAGCUUGCUCUUACGGGUGGCGAGUGGCGGACGGGUGAGGAAUACAUCGGAAUCUACUUUUUCGUGGGGGAUAACGUAGGGAAACUUACGCUAAUACCGUAUACGACCUACGGGUGAAAGCAGGGGAUCUUCGGACCUUGCGCGAUUGAAUGAGCCGAUGUCGGAUUAGCUAGUUGGCGGGGUAAAGGCCCACCAAGGCGACGAUCCGUAGCUGGUCUGAGAGGAUGAUCAGCCACACUGGAACUGAGACACGGUCCAGACUCCUACGGGAGGCAGCAGUGGGGAAUAUUGGACAAUGGGCGCAAGCCUGAUCCAGCCAUACCGCGUGGGUGAAGAAGGCCUUCGGGUUGUAAAGCCCUUUUGGUGGGAAAGAAAAGCAGCAGGUUAAUACCCCGCUGUUCUGACGGUACCCAAAGAAUAAGCACCGGCUAACUUCGUG